AUGGAGAGCAGUCUGUUCCCAGAACUUUUUUGGAAAAAAGACAAGGACAACAAAAAGGAAGAAGGAAGAACUAGCCAUAAGAAAAGAAAGAGAGUCACGGAUGAUAAAGAUGAAAAGAACCUCUGGCGUGUAAAAUGUGGAACCAAAAAGGGUUGGAUGGAUGUAGAGAAGUUGAGAAAAGGUACGUGCAUACAGUCUUACCAGUCUUACCAGUCUUUCCUUUUCUAUGUUGUACAUACAGUGAAAUAUAUAAAUAAAUAAAUCAAUAAAUAAUUUUUCAUGAAAAUGAUUAAUUUUUUCUUUAUAACUAUAGGUAAGGAUUGUAUUGAGUUUGAAGGCUCCUUUUACAGUCCACCUGAGUUUGAGAAGCUUGCAGGAAAAGACUCAUGUAGAAAAUGGAAGUCAUCUAUUUACCACAAGAAAGCUCCUCUGCACUUUUGGUUCAAGGUACUUUUUUUUUUUUUUUUUUGCUUUUCUAUGAAUCUACAAAAAUCAGAUUUCACUAAAUAAACUGCUGAAUUAACUUAUCACAGAAAGGUUACCUAACCACUACAGGAUAUAGACAAAAGAAAAGAAAAAGACAAUCAUCAGACCUUGAGUCCCAGGAACUCUUCACAGGUUUGUCUGCUCUUUCUUCGAUCUGUGCCUCAAAACCAGAGAAUGUUUGAGAAUAUGAACCAAAAGCAUGCAAACAUUAUUAUAUUAUUUUUAAUAACCUCUUUCAAAACUUCAGUAGUUUUGACAAAUACCCUACAGGAGUUGAGAAAAAACAGAGUGUUUGCAUAGAAAAAAAACUCUAUUCUAUUCUAUUUGCAUAGAAAAACACUCUGUUGCAAUUCUCUGUAUCUAGGCCUUCAACUUUCCCUCAUCCAACGCCUGCAACUUGUCCAAAAUUACACGUCUUUUAAGCGGCACCAGAAGACAUAAUCAUAUUACAUCUGUCUUAGCCAACCUUCACUGGCUCCCUGUCAAAUACCGUAUCGUUUUUAAAAUCCUUUUGUACACUUUUAAAAUUUUACUUGGCGCCCAGCUACUUAACCCUAGAACACUAUCGCUAUAAAUAGUAACACAAUCACUAAUGCCGGGUGAUUUUUACCCGAUAUAAUAUAACCAAUAAAAAGUAAUCAAAUAUAUCAAAAUAUGACAACACAUGACAAAUUAGAGUGGUCGUCUUUUACUUUCAACUGUGCCAUGUCUAACAAAAUGAAAAAAAAAACCCUCCUAAAACAAAAUAAUGACUCUGGAAAGCUGGUCUUUGGUCCACCCAUUCCUGGGACAUUUGAGACUUCCCUGGUGAAGGCACAGGCUCCUUGACAUGCAAACAGCUGCAGGAGAGAGAAAUCAUGUAAAUGUAUUUGCUCGGGUGUAAAUCACCCGGUGAUAGUGUUCUAGGGUUAAUCGAUCUCCUUGACCUAUAUAUCCCCCAAGAGAGCACUUAGAUCCUCUAACCAAUGGCUCUUAGUGCAACCAAUUUCCAGAUGGAAGACUAGGGGGGGGGUUGCUUUUGCUAUUGCUGCACCUAAACUUUGGAAUAGCCUGCCGAUUGAUGUCCGUGCAUCGGAAUCCAUUCAAUAUUUCAAGUCACGUUUAAAAAUCCAGCUGUUUAAACUAGCCUUCGAAACAAAUUAGAUUUUAACUUCUACCUGGUUCGCGCUUGUGCCACGCCACUUACCUGUAAUUAUUCUGUAAUGAUAACUGUAUUUUCUUUGUUCUUCUAUUGUUGUAAUCCCGCAAUGCGGCACUUGUGUGGAAAUUGAAUUGAAGCUGAGAAAAAGUAACAAAAAUCUCAGUGUACAUUGUCUGUGAAGGUUCUCAGUCAUCCAGGUCAUCGUAGUCAAAGGAGUUUGCAAAGAAAAGCGUCUGGACUUCUUUAAGUUGCUUGAAGACGUUUCACCUCUCAUCCGAGAAGCUUCUUCAGUUCUAAGGUCAAAUGGCCGAGAGUCCCAGAUUUAAACCCAGUGGGAGUAUCCCCCCAAGGAGGGACAAAGGACCCCCUGGUGAUCCUCUAAUCACAUGCGCCAAGGUGUGAAAGCGGGUGUGGGACCUAAUCAGCCAGGGUUUCGGGUGAGCUCAUUGUGAAACCUGGCCCCACCUUGUCAUGUGAAUUCCUGAGGUCAGAUGGCCCAGGAUGUGAGUGGGCGUUAAGGCGUCUGGGGAGGGAACUCAAAACUGGAUUAUAGAUGGCAGACAGUUGGUGUCGUAA
This is a long non-coding RNA of Oreochromis niloticus (Nile tilapia), 2203 nucleotides long. NCBI's taxonomy places the organism in Eukaryota, Metazoa, Chordata, Actinopteri, Cichliformes, Cichlidae. The record is from Ensembl.